UACGUUCCCGGGCCUUGUACACACCGCCCGUCACACCACGAAAGUUGGUAACACCCGAAGCCGGUGGCCUAACCCUUUUGGAGGGAGCCGUCGAAGGUGGGAUCAGCGAUUGGGGUG
This 117-nucleotide ribosomal RNA is filed under the name uncultured bacterium. RNAcentral describes it as "partial 16S ribosomal RNA". It matches the Rfam family "Bacterial small subunit ribosomal RNA", at positions 1367 to 1482 of the family's 1533-position model. The record is from RNAcentral.